AAUUAUUUUAAAAGAAAUUAACAAACAAAUUUGAACUGAAAUUUGGAUGAUGAUACUCUUAAACAAGCUAGUUUUAUACUAUGAGCUACACAUCAAAAAGUGUUGAUAGAGGAGAAUCGACAUCGAACUAGAUCACACACUUUUAUGCAAUACACCACAUUACGAUCCUCAUAUAUGAUAUGAUAAACAAGGUUGAAAAUUUUAAUUUUCA
RNAcentral lists this long non-coding RNA (211 nucleotides) under Salvia miltiorrhiza (redroot sage). RNAcentral's name for it is "long non-coding RNA (SMIL_LNC002817)". The record is from RNAcentral. Lineage: Eukaryota; Viridiplantae; Streptophyta; Magnoliopsida; Lamiales; Lamiaceae.